CUUUUGAACAAAGGAGCUGCUGCCGAUUGUUCUAACCAGAAAAUUUCGAUUUCCGGCGUGUAUCGCAGCUGGGAAGUAGCAUUUUCUAAAUCUCAGCUAUAACUCUGCUCUUCACUGUUAAAAAAAAAGAAAUUCGUUAAUUUUAGUAUUGAUCAAUUAAAUAGAUAAAUGUUCGAAGACUUAUAUGUAUACAUUCGUCUGUGAACUCCGCAGUUAUAGAAUUUGUAUACUUUUAAGUUGUGUAUUAUUAUAGAUGGAAUAAUUCUGUGAGUCUGUAUUAUAAAUAUAGUGUAUUGUAAGAAGGGAAAUUCGUAAAUGUUAAGAUGUUAUAAAUUUGGGCCGAAUGUUUAAAAUUA
Molecule: non-coding RNA, 356 nt
Organism: Jatropha curcas
Lineage: Eukaryota; Viridiplantae; Streptophyta; Magnoliopsida; Malpighiales; Euphorbiaceae
Source: RefSeq, a predicted model, not a curated record